CACCAGGACUGGCCUGAAAGAAUCUCCUCCCCCACGGGCCAGAGUCCCAGCUUCGCUAGGCUGGUGGAGAGGAAGAGGAACAGUCCUGAGGAGAUGCCUGAGAGGCACAUGGAGAGAUAGGCCCCAGUGGAGGUGAGCAGACUGCAAGCAGCAGGGACCCGUGGCCUCUCUCCCACACUCCAUAACAGCUGGAAGAGCAGUUGGCCAGGAUUGCAACCGACCAGCAACAACAGCCUCAAGAGGAGACAGAGAGACAGCAUGAGGUCAACAAGGUGACAGAGGGGUUUGGAAGGCUUGAGCUGUGGAUGAGGACAGAGGCUUGGGUGGGUUAGGAUCCCGUUCUCCAGGCAGGUUCUGAUCUCAAGCUUGAAGGUUUCUUUGCUCAAUGUGUGGAGGUUGAAUACACGCACAUGGGGUAAAGACAGAGGUGUCCAGGCCACACGACACUGGUUGCAGCCUCUCACCAGCUUCCCAGAUGCCCACUUUUCUCUGCUGCGCUCACUCUGAAGGGCAGAUCAACAGGGAAGGGCGAGGAAAGGAUCAAGGUGGAGAGGCUUUCCACAUGAAGGUCGGAGGUCAAAGGUCAGCCAUUGGUGCAUCUAGCCUGAGACCCACACAGACUUGUUGGAUGAUAGUGCAGAAGCUCUUCUCAUCCAGUAGAGAUAAGCCUCCUGGGGACACACACGCACACACACACACACACACACACACACACAGAGGAAUGCAUAUGAAACUGGUAAAUCUGAUAAUCUGGAUGUUCUAUACUAAAGUCACUUUCCUGGUAGCCAUACAAGAUGUCACCACUGGGAAAACCCGAGGGAAAAGCCCACAGGAUCUGUCUAUCUCUUCUUUGUUAUUUCUGACAAAUGCAUAUACUGCAUAUGAAUUUACAUUUCAAGGGACUUGCAUAGGAUUCCUGAGGCCCUCAGUUCCAUUUGCACACACACACACACACACACACACACUCACACUUUUAUGGAUCCAGAACUGACCUUAAGCUAAGGGAUAAACACUGGGAAAGACUGAAAACCAGGGUUGUUCAGAGAUGAAGAAGAGUCUUCUUGACUUGCUGGUUGCUUAAAUAAAUGAAUCAUCUCCAUUCUGGGAUGCUGAAGUCAAAAUGUGCAUGUUUGUGUAUGUGUGCACAAGUGUGUGUGUGUGUGUGUGUGUGUGCGCUUGAGAGCAUGAGCAUGCAUUCCCAGGUGCACAGUACAGAAGAAACAAUUUAAACACUGAAUUAUGUCCAUAAAGAUUCAAGCCUUAGGGAAUGUCUUUUCAUGUAGCUCGCAUACAUUAACGCUGACUCUUUGUGAUGUGCAGGCCUCCGGUUUUUGACAAAUGCAUGAAAUUGUGUAUUUUCUAGCCCAGGAACAUACAAAGCAGUUCCUGGAUCCUAAAUAUUCACGUGUGCGCCUCUUUGUAGUCAGCCACACCUUGUCUACCAGUCCCUGGCAACCUCCAAUGAGGAAUUGAAUUCUACAAUGUAAGUUGAAUUCUAAAAAGGUUUUUAAAAAAAAAGUGGGAGAAGGCACAGGACACAGAACAGGAAGAACAAAG
Molecule: small RNA, 1557 nt
Filed under: Rattus norvegicus (Norway rat)
Lineage: Eukaryota; Metazoa; Chordata; Mammalia; Rodentia; Muridae
Description: uncharacterized LOC102550477
Source: RNAcentral